AACGAACGCUGGCGGCAGGCUUAACACAUGCAAGUCGAACGCAUCGCAAGAUGAGUGGCAGACGGGUGAGUAACACGUGGGAACAUACCCUUUGGUGCGGAACAACAGCUGGAAACGGCUGCUAAUACCGCAUGCGCCCUACGGGGAAGAUUAUCGCCGAGGAUUGGCCCGCGUCUGAUUAGCUAGUUGGUGAGGUAAUGGCUCACCAAGGCGACGAUCAGUAGCUGGUCUGAGAGGAUGAUCAGCCACACUGGGACUGAGACACGGCCCAGACUCCUACGGGAGGCAGCAGUGGGGAAUAUUGGACAAUGGGCGCAAGCCUGAUCCAGCCAUGCCGCGUGAGUGAUGAAGGCCCUAGGGUUGUAAAGCUCUUUCAGCGAGGAGGAUAAUGACGUUACUCGCAGAAGAAGCCCCG
RNAcentral lists this ribosomal RNA (415 nucleotides) under uncultured bacterium. RNAcentral's name for it is "bacterial SSU rRNA". It matches the Rfam family "Bacterial small subunit ribosomal RNA", at positions 29 to 495 of the family's 1533-position model. The record is from RNAcentral.